RNAcentral lists this unclassified non-coding RNA (267 nucleotides) under uncultured fungus. RNAcentral describes it as "sequence contains ITS1, 5.8S rRNA gene". The stretch from base 219 to 267 matches the Rfam family "5.8S ribosomal RNA", at positions 1 to 49 of the family's 154-position model. The record is from RNAcentral. Lineage: Eukaryota; Fungi.
UUUCCGUAGGUGAACCUGCGGAAGGAUCAUUAAUGAAUGAAUGUAGAGUUGGUUGUAGCUGGCCUCCCCGAGGCAUGUGCACACCUUCUCUUUCAUCCACACACCCCUGUGCACUUGUGAGACGGAUUGACCUCUCUCUCGGGGGGACGGUCCGUCUAUCAUAUACAAACUCUAUUUAAUAAAUCUGAAUGUCAUUUGAUGUAACGCAUCUUUGAACUAAGUUUCAACAACGGAUCUCUUGGCUCUCGCAUCGAUGAAGAACGCAGC